This 335-nucleotide unclassified non-coding RNA is filed under the name soil metagenome. Its description in RNAcentral is "partial contains 5.8S ribosomal RNA, internal transcribed spacer 2, and large subunit ribosomal RNA". The stretch from base 1 to 120 matches the Rfam family "5.8S ribosomal RNA", at positions 35 to 154 of the family's 154-position model. The record is from RNAcentral.
GAUGAAGAACGCAGCGAAAUGCGAUAAGUAAUGUGAAUUGCAGAAUUCAGUGAAUCAUCGAAUCUUUGAACGCACAUUGCGCCCGCCAGUAUUCUGGCGGGCAUGCCUGUUUGAGCGUCAUUUCAACCAUCAAGCCCCCGGCUUGUGUUGGGGACCUGCGGCUGCCGCAGGCCCUGAAAACCAGUGGCGGGCUCGCUAGUCACUCCGAGCGUAGUAAUACAUCUCGCUCAGGGCGUGCUGCGGGUUCCGGCCGUUAAAAAGCCUUAUUUACCCAAGGUUGACCUCGGAUCAGGUAGGAAGACCCGCUGAACUUAAGCAUAUCAAUAAGCGGAGGA